CAGCGCGAGGCAGGGGGCGGUUUGGGCGGGAAACUCUUCUGAGGAAAAGCUGCCGCGGCUGCCGUCCUAAUUUGGAAGAAGCAGAAACACCCCGCGAGUGAGCGCGAGGUGGGCUUCCAAGUAAGCAUGCGCGGAGCUGGGGGGGGGGAUUUGAGGCUGCCGUUCUACGCAUAGGAGAAAGCUCAGCUGAACUCCCUGGGGGGGGGGGGGGGAGCGCACAAACUGUGGCUGUGUAUAUGGCGCGGGGUGGGGGAACAGCGGAGCAGCUGUGCUUAAUUGUUAUUAAUAACGCGGGGCUGCAGUCUUAAAAGCUGCCUUUGCUGCGGUUGGGUGUAAGCUCCCCCUGAACUCCGUGGAGCCCUGGCUUCUGGGAAGGCAGAAAUAGGAUUGCAAUAACAACAGGGCCAAGGCGGGAAGGCAAGAUUCAAAGGGAUGCUCUUGGGCAUAUUAAAUACUGCACUGCGAAGUGCGCAUGCAGGAAGGAUGGUGAGACCUCAAGUGAAGUUCUUGUCUCAGCUGAUUAAAGGCACUCAUUUGGAAAGAGGUGGCCUUUGGUUGAAAUGAGGAGAGUGCCCAAAAUCUGAACAGUGGACUAAUUCAGCUAAAUUCAUUGUUACUAUUUUAAUUUAUAUCCCAACCUUUCUCCCAAAGGAGCCUAUGAAGCAAGGGAUAUCCAGCACAUACCCCUCUACAUCUUGCUGAACUCUAGCUCCCAUCUUCCCUGGCCAUUAGCUGUGCUGGCUUCUUGUGAGAUUUAGAGUCCAGUAACAUCUGGAAUGGCUACUUCUGUGUGAUGUAUUAAGAUACAAAUAUAAGUUUAUGAUGGGCAGUUGCCAUCAUAAGAUAACUGGUGUUUGUUGGUCCUUUUCAUUCUUAUUCUAACCAUGUUUAUUCAGAGCAGAAAUGAGGAUGUCCAGAUGUCCAGACUACAGCUCCCUUCAUCCCUGACCAAGUCCCAUCAGUUCCAGAUAGCAUAUUCAGUGGAGUCUAACAUCAUCCAGUGGUCACCAGAUUCUUCAUAUCCAAUUCAGACAUUAGUCUGAGGCCAAUGGAACUUAUGUGUUUCCAGCUAAAUGGGCUUAAGAAGCAACCAUGGAAUUAUACUUGAUUGAAAAUUGUGGGUAGUAGCUAUCUGAAUUAACUGGUAGCAAAUUCAAUAACAUGUGUUUAUUAUGUAUUUUCCCAUUGGAUUGCAUUGACCUAUGAAUACAUGAGAAACAGAUUUGUCUUCUCCCCUGCCUAUCCCCCCUUUAGGGCAACAGCACUGCAGAGUCACUGUUCUCAUAUUUUAAGAGACUACAUUUAGUCUCUUCUAAUAUGUAAUCAAUUUGUAAUUGUCUAGGUCAUUUUGAGUUUUAAUCCAAUCCUCUUGCAGCAGCUCUUAACUUUGCUUCUUAUGCAAGCCUGAGGGGGAGGAGCAAAAUUCAGCAGAUCAGGUAGAGAGGCUGCUUGUUACCUUUGCUUCACCUGAUCUAUUAACCACGCUCUUCAUCCUACUGCAUAUCUCUUGCAUAAUGCAUUAGCAAAUCAUAAGUCUUUGCAAGAUCAAGCCCAAAGAGUUUCUGCGUGGCCUGUUGUUCCAGUUUGACUUAAUUGAUGAAAAAACACCUUUCUUUAAAUGGGUGUAACUUUGCAUGUGAAGAGCCCUUCAGCAAAGUAAUCAUAAUAAUAAUAAGGUACAAAAUAAACUUGGACUGAAGAGGGAGUACAAUGAAUACAGUUCUUAAUGCAACCAUAAGCAGCCCACAGAGUUACCAUAGAUUCCACUUAUGUCAUUAAAUGUAACCUUACUAUGCAAUGGGCCUGUGAUGGUAGACUGAAGCUGCACACUGAAUUCUUACCCUGUUAGCCAUGAUACUUAAGAACAGCAUAAGAAAUAAUAUCCCAAUAAGGACCAUGAUACAGGAGUGAAUAUAACCAAAUAAAAAAAUGCCCAUUUUAUUAUUCCUGGCUUCUUAGCAGCUAACUUUUUAUGUUUCAACAGCAAAAGAGGAUAUACAAUAUUUGCAAAAGAUGGGUAAAGUGGUGUUGGUGGUAGUUUAAAUAUUAAAUAUUAAACUACCUUAAAUAACUCCCAUUUUCAGUGCUCUACAAAUAUUGAAAAUAUCAUGUAUCUAAUAAGACAAAUAUUAACACACAGGCUUGAUACUGUUGGGAAUGCUGAUAUCCUCAUAAUAGCAGUAAGAUGAAAGAAAAACUAGCAUUCAACGUCCAUAUAUUUAAUAUACGAUUCUCCCA
Non-coding RNA from Podarcis lilfordi (Lilford's wall lizard), 2238 nucleotides. The record is from the annotation of a GenBank genome assembly. Lineage: Eukaryota; Metazoa; Chordata; Lepidosauria; Squamata; Lacertidae.